UCGUACCACGGAGGCGCUUGGGUUGUCGCUGACCUUUCCGAAGGCUCGUGCACGCUCGAGUGCUUUCAAUCCACUUCACCCCUUGUGCAUCACCGCGUGGGGUCUCUCUUUCGGGAGGCUCGCGUUUUCACACAAACUUGAAGUAGUGUAGAAUGUCCUUCUUUGCAAUAACAUGCAAUCAAUA
RNAcentral lists this unclassified non-coding RNA (184 nucleotides) under uncultured Russulaceae. Its description in RNAcentral is "sequence contains ITS1". Lineage: Eukaryota; Fungi; Basidiomycota; Agaricomycetes; Russulales; Russulaceae. The record is from RNAcentral.